CAUUAAUUAACGUUAUAACACACACAUAUCAUUACUCUUUGCCGGGGUGCCUUUUGCUUAAAGUAAUAAGGUCGGCUAAAGCGGAUAUGUGGAGGCAUAAC
Gilliamella apicola SCGC AB-598-I20 is the source of this 101-nucleotide non-coding RNA. The record is from Rfam. NCBI's taxonomy places the organism in Bacteria, Pseudomonadati, Pseudomonadota, Gammaproteobacteria, Orbales, Orbaceae.